RNAcentral lists this ribosomal RNA (365 nucleotides) under uncultured bacterium. RNAcentral's name for it is "bacterial SSU rRNA". It matches the Rfam family "Bacterial small subunit ribosomal RNA", at positions 29 to 416 of the family's 1533-position model. The record is from RNAcentral.
AACGAACGCUGGCGGCAGGCUUAACACAUGCAAGUCGAACGCGUGUAGCAAUACACGAGUGGCGCACGGGUGAGUAACGCGUGGAUAUCUGCCUUUUGGUUCGGAAUAAACCCCGGGAACUGGGGCUAAUACCGGAUGGUUUCCUUCGGGAAUAAAGAUUUAUCGACCAAAAAGAUGAGUCCGCGUCCGACUAGCUAGUUGGCGAGGUAAUGGCUCACCAAGGCGACGAUCGGUAGCUGGCUGAGAGGACGAUCAGCCACACUGGGACUGAGACACGGCCCAGACUCCUACGGGAGGCAGCAGUGGGGAAUAUUGGACAAUGGGGGCAACCCUGAUCCAGCCAUGCCGCGUGAGUGAUGAAGGCC